AUCCUCAAGCUCCAGCCAGGUUGCAGCGUGUGUGAGGGUGGUAAAUCUUCUGUCCACACCAGUGUUCACAUCUCCCCUUCCCAAGUUUGCCCAGUCCCUAGGUGGUGACCAUCGUCAGCAGUUAGUCCACCUCGCCGUGACCAGGUAACUUUCAAAGUUUCCUUAGCCGAGCUAUACAUGUUUUGUGCUCUACAUCAGAUAGUGAAGCUCAUAUGAUGAUGAACAAAUCUCCUUAAGACAGUCUUGUUGGAUGUUAUAUGAAAAUUGGAGUAACAGCUGCUCAAAUCUAGACUGUCUGGCGGCUGAAACUGAAUUGUAUUCAGUCCACUGUGAACUGAAAUUCAGCACAAGGGUGUCUAGUUUGGAGCCCUAUGGUAAUUAGUGCAAGGCAAAUUGGGUUAGGAAUUCUUUAGCAAACUGAAAGGACAUAUAUAGGAGAACAAAUUCCCUAAAGAGGGUUGGACUUGGUGCUACACAAAAAGAGGAGUUAAAGUGGCUCCAAGUUGUGCUGUCCGACUGGAGAUAUGUAAAUUUAGUUAACUAUUGCUGGCAGUUUGAGUUAGUUUUUACCCAACUUUGGAGCCUUGUGGUAAUUACUCCAAGGGGAAAUGGGUUAGGGAUUCCACAUCCAGAUAAAAGACCACAUCAAGGACAACAAGUUUCAUUCAAAGAAUGGGCUUGCUACUGUAUAAGUUGGCAGUAAAAAGGUGUCCCAAACUUCUCUGCCAGAGUGGGUGCAGUGCUGUUUCAGUUCACUGAAACUGAACUUUUUUGUGAUUUUGCUCUAUUUUGUGGCAUCAUAACUUUUGAUUAGUAUGGUUUCAGUCUGGGGAUGCUAUGCCAAAGUAGUAGAGCUAUGUCUAGAGAAUAACUUGGAGUAAAUGAGUUGUGUUUGUUGUUGAGGGAAUUUGUGAGUUACAAAGCACUGAACAGAGAGAGAGGAAUGGAGCACUAAAAGAUGAAUUCAGAGAACUGAAAAUAGGUUCAAUGAAUUGUGGCUGAUUCUUGG
Molecule: long non-coding RNA, 1009 nt
Filed under: Zea mays
Lineage: Eukaryota; Viridiplantae; Streptophyta; Magnoliopsida; Poales; Poaceae
Description: long non-coding RNA NONZMAT002176
Source: RNAcentral